GAUGCUGGAUUUACUGUGCAGGUGGUCAGGCCCAUGGAGGGUUUGUUUCCAUGCAUCUUCUCAGCACACACUCUCCCGGGCUCUUGGCUGAGACCUGAGUCUGGUCCCCGGCUUUCUGCCCAGAGCAGAAAUCCCGCUUCCCUAAGACGCCAGGGAGCUCGCUGGAAAGCGGCCACAGUGCGAGCAGAUAUCCCACUCCAGCCCGGGAGGAACAGAACAGACCAAUGGAACAGAAUAGAGAACCUGGCUAAUGAGCAAAAUCCAAGCACUGCCCACCCCCAUUAGCUCCUACCGGAGUCACAGCUGUCACCGCCGCUUACGUGCAGUCCUGUAUCCUGGUGUUUCCCGAAGGCUGGCUUUUCCUCCCUGGAUCUGUAACUCGACAGUAUAAUAGCAGGUCAGUACCAGAAGUUUCCUUAAAUGUUUUGCAUACUCUCUCCUGUGUGCUGCCUCAAAGGAUUUUAAUGAUGACUGUGUUUAAUGGGAAGUCUUUUCUCUCUAUUAAUCCCCUUCUGCAGAAAACUUGGCGGGUUUGCCAGCCUGCCGGGGGGUUGCUGCAUCUGGGCAAAGCAGCCCCUUCACUCACUACCUAUGAUGGGAAGGAGCGUGGAGCCACCGAAGAGGGUGUCCGCUUGGCCUGAGCUUGGCUGAAGCGAGCAGGAUACGUGGCCCAGGAGGCUGAUCCCAUUGGACUAGCCUGUCUGUGGCUUCCUGUUGGGGUCAAUGGAUGGGGAGCCCUCAAGGGGAUUCAGAGGGACAGAAGGUUGCAGGCUGUUGCAGCUGACGGAAUUUGCUGUUGGCAGAGACUGCCUGCUGCCAGACAAGGUUGUGUCUGUUCCACAAAAGCCCAGCUCCCUCUGCCAGGAGCUCUUGGCACCGGAGGUCACCAAGCCCGCUGUGGGGCCUACCUACGCCAUCAACAGUGAUGAUGUCUCAUGUAUGAAUAAUGCCUUGACAGAGCGUUUCUCAACUCCUUCCUGCAAAGAAGGGAUCAGAGAGUCUAGGGGGAAGGUAAGCGCCUGCCCAAGGCCACACGGUUGUGAGGGGGAAGGGCAGGAGUGAAAGCCAAGGUCAGGGUGGGAGCAGAGAUCAGGGCAGGACCAGCCAGCUCCGUGUGCUGUGGACUGAGAGGUUCAAAGGAAGUAGAAAUGUCAAUACAUGGGAAACAGGUGGACUGAAAAAUCGAUGGCAGUGCUGAAGGGUCUUAAGCAAUCAAUAUUUGUGUAGGAUGUGCGGAGAAGCAGCUGAGCUAACAUGAGCUUCAUCUGCUGAAGGUGCUGAUGAGCUAACGUGUGGAAUGCGGAGGACCGAGCAGUUCACAGGAGGGUGUGUAUCAGUUAGCAUGAAACUGCUGCGUAACAAAAUAGCCCCAGGCUCAGGGGCCUAAAGGUCAGCUGAUGGCCUAGUCUGGGCUUGGCCAGAGAAGCUGUUUUUUUUUCUCCAGAGACAGCAGGCCAGCCAGGCCUGUCCUGCUCCUGAUGCUGGCAGAAGCAUGAAAAGACAAAUGCAAAGGUGCAGACACUUGAGACCCAGACCCGGAGCUGGCUGAGAAUGCUCAGGCCCUCCUGGUGCUCUUGGGCAAACAGGGCCCACGGGGGACCCCGCAGGCAGGGGGUGGGGAAGUAGUCUUCACCCCUUCAGUGGGAGGAACUUCAGAGUCC
Molecule: long non-coding RNA, 1661 nt
Filed under: Sus scrofa (pig)
Lineage: Eukaryota; Metazoa; Chordata; Mammalia; Artiodactyla; Suidae
Description: lncRNA (ENSSSCG00070010395.1)
Source: RNAcentral